Molecule: ribosomal RNA, 565 nt
Filed under: Russula sp.
Lineage: Eukaryota; Fungi; Basidiomycota; Agaricomycetes; Russulales; Russulaceae
Description: SSU rRNA
Rfam family: Bacterial small subunit ribosomal RNA
Source: RNAcentral
CAGCAGUCCAAGAUAUUAGUCAAUGCUCGAAAGAGUGAACUAGCUAACUGAAAUCAAUUAUAAUAAUUGAUAACAUAAGGGAAAAUAAUGAUAUUACCUUAUUAUUAGUGUCGUCCAAAACUGGUGCCAGAAGACUCGGUAAGGCCAGAGACACAAACGUUAAUCGUCUUAAUCAGGCGUAAAGGGUUUGUAGGCGGCUUUAAAAUUUAAGUUAAUAACAAAUAUUAAGUAAAGAAUAAAAGCUAGAAUCAAAUAGAGGAUAUAUGAAAGAAUGCUUAGAGUAGGUCUGAUAUCCUUAGAUACUAAGUAGAAUAUUAAAGGCGAAAGCUUUUUUCCAUUAAUGAUUGACGCUCAGAAACGAAGGUGAGGAUAGGAAAUAGGAUUAGAUACCCAGAAUACCCCUCUCUGUCAACGAUGAAUGGUAGUUAUUAGUAACAAAUUAUUAAUGGCAAUGUUAACACGAUAACCAUUCCGCCUUGUGAGUACAACUGCAAAGUUGAAAACAAAAAAAUUAGUCGGUUUCGGAGCAAACGAAGUGAAGCAUGUUAUUUAAUUCGAUAAUCCG